GUUAAUUUUAGAGUUAUUUAUCUGUUUUUUUCACUAGGUUGAUGCCUGGCUGAAUGAAUUGAUUCAUUCAUGGACUGUGAAUCUCAUGCAGGUGAAGGUCGUGAGUUAUAAUAUGCUCCUUGGAAAAUCUUUGGCAUGAUCAUGUCUCCAGCAGCUUUUAUGAGAUGAACAACUACCAGGUUCUUUGAUUCCCUACCUAACCUUUGCAGUGUUUGGAGGCCCAUUUUUUUCAAUAAAGAGCCCAGACGAUUCAUGCUUUACACAGGAUUGCUCCACGGUGUUUGUUCUUUCCUUGUGAUCUCUCAAAAACCC
RNAcentral lists this long non-coding RNA (312 nucleotides) under Fukomys damarensis (Damara mole-rat). Its description in RNAcentral is "lncRNA (ENSFDAG00000025809.1)". The record is from RNAcentral. Lineage: Eukaryota; Metazoa; Chordata; Mammalia; Rodentia; Bathyergidae.